GAUGAACGCUGGCGGCGUGCCUAAUACAUGCAAGUCGAGCGAACAGACUACUAGCUUCCUCCUCUCUCGUUUGCCGCGCACGUGUGUGUAACACGUGUAUAACCUACCUAUAUUACUGGUAUAACUUCGGGAAACCGUCUCUAAUACCGGAUAAUAUUUUGUUCCGUAUGGUUCUAUAGUGAAUGUUGGUUUUGCUCUCACUUAUAGAUCGAUCCGCGCCGCAUUAGCUAGUUGGUAAGGUAACGCCUUACCAAGGCAACGAUCCGUAGACGAAGGGGGAGAGUGAUAGGCGACAAUGGAAGUGAGACACGGUCAAGACGACUAAGAGAGGGAGCAGUAGGGAACGGGAGGCAAGAGGGGAAAGAAUGACGGAGCAAGGCCGAGUGAGAGAUGAAGGUCUUGGGAUCGUAAAACUGUGUUAUGAGGGAAAAACAAAUGUGUAAGUAAAUAAGGAGGAAGUGACGGUACCUAAAGAGAAAGCAACGGCUAACUACGUG
RNAcentral lists this ribosomal RNA (497 nucleotides) under uncultured bacterium. RNAcentral describes it as "partial 16S ribosomal RNA". It matches the Rfam family "Bacterial small subunit ribosomal RNA", at positions 28 to 507 of the family's 1533-position model. The record is from RNAcentral.